GCACACUACUUUCGCAACGAGCAGCAGCCGCAUCCAUCCAUCCAUCCAUCCACGGCCCGGCGUCGACGCGAUGUCGUACUCCGGCGAUCGCCGGCCCUCCCCGCAGCCGCAGCCGCAGCCGCAUACGCACGCGCACCUCUCCUACCUCUCCCCGUCCGCGGCGCCCUUCACCGUCGGCCAUCCCCGCGGGGCCGCGACCCCCGAUCCGGUCCCCAACGCCCCCGCUAACCCUAGCCCCUACCCCGACCUCCCCACCGCGCCGUCGCUCUACGACUCCUGGGUCGAGCCUCCCGCGAGCUACAUGGAUCUGGAGGCCGGCGCAGCGGCCGGGUACCGAGGUUUUGCCAACUCGGAUGGGUUUCUGGUUUCUGAGAACACACACACUGGCUUGUACACUGGGAGUCAUUUUGGUAACACCAUGCAGCCACAUCCCUUCACAACAGCCAGCUCCGAGUGGAUGGAAGAGAAGUAUCCUGGAAUUUACCAAAGAACGUCCAAGGCCCUCCCAAGUGAUUUUGGGUCAUCAGUUAUCCAUCAGCCUUCCGUGUCUCCUAAUAUGUUUGCUUGCUUAGAUAAAAAGCGUUCCACACCUCAACCUGUGAAUCAGCAUUCCUCGUAUUCUGCUUAUGAUAACUACACGACACAUCUUCCAUCGUGCUCAACAUAUCCAUUGGAUUACAACCUGUCCAUGCCACCUGUUUCUGUCUCACCUGAAGUAUGUGCUACAACAAAAUCAUUGUCGCCCACAACAGAUGGCCAUAUAUUGGAAAAUACAUUUUCCUCACCAUACAUGAACCCUUGCAGAUUAAAUCUUGAUUAUUUUGAUACCAUGCAGAAUGAACAGAAAGACCUCUUUGGACAUCAGACUGCUUAUAAACAUUGUGGUGACUGGAGUAACUCUGAUAGUGGCACGAGAAUAAUGGGAAGCUAUCCACUUAGUAGACGUGGAGUUGGAGAGAACUACCCUUUGGGUGAGAGUUCAGAAACUGGGAGGCCUGUGCAGCCAGGAACCUAUCCACUUAAUGGACAUGGAGUUGGAGAAAACUAUCUUUCGGGUGACACUUCUGGAUCUGGGAGACCUGUACAGCCGUCAUCAGAAGUGAAGUCUGGUUUCAACAGCUUGCAAGCAUCAUCUUCCAAUGUGUCUCCUUCAGAACAUGCAUUUUCUCAGCCUCGUGACCUUUUCAUUGAGCCACUUGAAGUAAAUAAUCCUGUUGUUGAUUCUCCUUGUUGGAAAGGGACACCAACUGCGCAGCAGUCAUCAUUUGGUGUUGUGAAAAAUGAUGAAGCUCCUUUUUCUGCUAAUGGCUCAGGUGACCUCCAUGAGUUGCACCAAAGCAAGAAGCUUUCUGAGUUUACUACUAGUAAUUCUGUGUUAUUUCCCAAGCGUCAUGAUACAUCAAAUCCUGCGAAUGAUUCGUGUCUACCUUAUUUCGUAAAUUAUCUUUCUUCAUCCAGUCUGCCUUCAGAGUGUAAAAAAUCUGAAGGUCAUAGUGAUGCACAACCAUCCAUUGCUGGGGAUUUCAAUUGUAUGGCUAGGUCUAGCCACCCUAGUUAUGUAUCUGUAGAUCAAGGCACCAGAAGAGAUAAACACGUGACCUGUAAGAUAGGAGAAAAUUCCGGAAAUGGGGUAACACCAGGUCAACAGGGAGGUGUUUUUCUUGGCCAAAGAACAUUUGAACCCAUAGUGUUAGCCAGAGACUUUGGCAGUCAUGUUGUGGGUAUGAAUGAAGAUUCUGGUAAGAAAGUUUCAAGCAAUUUUGCCGCAGCUCCAAUUACAAAGGUUAGGAGUUUGACAAAAGAAAGUCUAAAAGGAAAUACUUGCGUCCAUAAAACUGUGGCAACAUUGGAAAGUCUGUACUCGGAGAUGCCUAUGAAUAUAGGUCUGGAGCAUUUAACCCAUUGCAGUCCCGGUGUUGAGGAGUCAGUGAAGGUAUCUUCAGAUAAAGUUGCCUACAGAUCCAAGACUCAAGAAGACUUAAUCAAGUCAAUUUAUAAUUUCUCAGUAGUGCUUCUAUCUACAUGCGAUGGUGGUUAUGAGUUGGGGGAAUCUGAACAUGCACUUGUUCAAUCUACAAUACACAAUCUCAGUUCUUUGAGUUCCAAGAUAAGUAAGGCUGCAUUAAAAAAUGAUGAUGCCAAUGGAAAGUGCCACCAAUCGAAAUCAGAAACAAUAAAGUGCCAUGGAAAGAAUCAUCAGCCUGAGAAUUUUGAUGGCCUUGAUUGGGAGAACAUUGGUGCAGAUUUCAAAACAUUUAUUUUGGAGGAUCUUACUAAGCUUCCAGAAGAGAAUGUCAUUGGUGAUACUAAAGAUGCGCAAAUGCUGAUAUAUAAGAAUCUGUGGAUUGAAGCUGAAGCUUCCAUGUGUAAACUCAAGUAUGAACUGCAACUUGCCCGCAUGAAACUCGUGACGAAACAUUACAAUCAGCAAACAGCUGCAGCACCUGCCAAUUCAUUAGGAGAAGCCAAAGCCUACAUGCCCAAACACAAGAACUCUUCAUGUUUUGGAGGGUUUGCUGAUUCUAGCAAACAACAAAACCAUGUGAAAGAGCGCAAUAUUGGCAAUGCAGCCUUACUACCUCAGGGAGGUGAUAAGGUUGAUGCUGAUGUCUUUGCUCGACUGAAAGUUCUCAAGCUCCGUGAUGAGAGUAUAAAUUGCUACCGUGAGGUCAAUGCUGAGGUGCGGAAGGGAACAAGUAAUUAUAACAGGACAGAUGUUUUUGAUGACACUGUUUUUGAUAAUGCUGUUGACGAUAGGAUAACUUCUUUAGUGGAGGACAUCAUCAAAGAGCGUUCAGAAGCAAGCAGCAGCGAAGGUGGUGAGUCUGAUGGUGCUACCAUUGCUGCACUUAACGGUUUCACGAGCUGUAACAAUAAUACAAGAUCAUUGGACGAGGGUACCAACAUAGAGCAGGCAGAAUCUAGUGAAAGCAAAAUCCAUGGCGCUUUUAUGGCUAAGCUCAAAGAUUUGAUAUGCUGUAGUGAUGACAUAAGCUCAUCGAACGAGGGCAAUGCUCAUCAGCUCCAAACAGCAAGCAAGAAUGAAUUUGGUCAGCUUGAAGACGUGGUUAUGGCCAGGCUGCAAGUCCUGAAAAGACGUGAAGACAACAAUAGCAGCGCUGUGAACGAGGGACAAGAGGUUUGCCAUUCCGAUGAUUGGGCGGGUCACUUUGAAACAAAACGACUUGGUCGUGGGGCACACGAUGAGCUAAUUCAGAAGACUGAUUUGCCUGACAACGGUGGGCGCAGGGCCCAAUCUGAUGAAGCGGAUAGCAAAACCGCAAGCCAGUACGUCAGUGCAUUGCUUGAAGAGCCCUGUGUUGUCUUGAAGAGCCCUGUGUUGUCUCGGCACCAGCGGAACCUGCAAGCGCGCACACGCAUGACGAGCAGCUAAGCCACUCACCGCCGGAAUGGGAGCAUGUGCUGAAGGAGGACUUUUUUCUCCCAGGAAACCAUUUGAAGUGAAAGGCAUCUGGUUGCCCCUUGGUUUAAUUCGAAAACCUUGUGUGUGUUGUAUAUAUAUGUUCUUAACGUAAGUACGUAGUAUGCGAGCCGGGGAUCAUGACAUAAGUUGCAUGUAGAAAAUAAUCUCAAACUCAUGGCUCAUAUUCUGUAAAAUAUACGCUGUGCGUCGUAUCUGGCUGUAUGCUUUGAAAUUAUUGUCAUGCAUGUUAACGACUAUAUUAUUGUAACAUGUAAUGCUUGUAUAUGUGGUA
Hordeum vulgare subsp. vulgare (domesticated barley) is the source of this 3716-nucleotide RNA transcript. RefSeq lists it as uncharacterized. NCBI's taxonomy places the organism in Eukaryota, Viridiplantae, Streptophyta, Magnoliopsida, Poales, Poaceae. The record is from RefSeq and is a predicted model, not a curated record. The transcript is spliced from 5 exons.